This 505-nucleotide ribosomal RNA is filed under the name uncultured bacterium. RNAcentral describes it as "bacterial SSU rRNA". It matches the Rfam family "Bacterial small subunit ribosomal RNA", at positions 30 to 528 of the family's 1533-position model. The record is from RNAcentral.
AUUGAACGCUGGCGGAAUGCUUUACACAUGCAAGUCGAACGGCAGCACGGGGGCAACCCUGGUGGCGAGUGGCGAACGGGUGAGUAAUACAUCGGAACGUGCCCAGUCGUGGGGGAUAACGUAGCGAAAGCUACGCUAAUACCGCAUACGAUCUACGGAUGAAAGCGGGGGAUCGCAAGACCUCGCGCGAUUGGAGCGGCCGAUGGCAGAUUAGGUAGUUGGUGGGGUAAAGGCUCACCAAGCCUUCGAUCUGUAGCUGGUCUGAGAGGACGACCAGCCACACUGGGACUGAGACACGGCCCAGACUCCUACGGGAGCAGCAGUGGGGAAUUUUGGACAAUGGGCGAAAGCCUGAUCCAGCCAUUCCGCGUGCAGGAUGAAGGCCCUCGGGUUGUAAACUGCUUUUGUACGGAACGAAACGGCCUUUUCUAAUACAGAGGGCUAAUGACGGUACCGUAAGAAUAAGCACCGGCUAACUACGUGCCAGCAGCCGCGGUAAAGUAGU